Long non-coding RNA from Diceros bicornis minor, 1438 nucleotides. RefSeq lists it as uncharacterized. The transcript is spliced from 4 exons. The record is from RefSeq and is a predicted model, not a curated record. Lineage: Eukaryota; Metazoa; Chordata; Mammalia; Perissodactyla; Rhinocerotidae.
AGAAGUGAGGGAGGAGGACAGAGAGUUCUUCCGGGAAGGCAGCACUGAUGUAGUCUCCAUGACAAUGAAGAAGAUUCCGGGUCGUGGCUGAGGGGCCCUCCUCCUCCUGCUCCGGCUCGGCUCAGCACACAGGCUGAGUGAGAGAAGAUACUGCUGCUGCCGCCACUGCUGUCACCUGGCCUCUGAUCAACCCCCAGGCUCAGAGCAGUAACAUCUCCAGGGAGAACAUUCGAGCCUCUUCCAGGGCUCCAGAAACUCUUUCGCCCUUCUGUCGCCACCCACCUGACUCCCUCCACCCCCACUGUCCCGGGACUCAGGGAGCUGCUGCCAUAGAUUUAUUUCUCCUGUUGAUUCUCAUCUAUCCUGCUGGCGACUCCAGCCCGGAUUUAUCUGAAAGGCUGCAGCCAUCAAAUCAGAGAAUAUUAGAGCCAUGAGGCACCUGGAGAUUUUUCUGGGCCAAACCCUUCAUUUUAUAGACAAAGAAACUGAGUCUCAUUGGGGAAGGGACCCCUGAAGCUCCAGUAAUGUGUGAGGGGCUGGUUCUUCACGGCUGCACCUUCUGUCCCUACUUCAACUUCCUGGCGUAUCUCAAGGGCAAGAAUCGCUCAGCUCUGCUCCUCUCCCUUUAACUGUCUCCCUUCGCCCCAGUUCCCAGUGCACACUCAUGCUGGGAGGGGCCUGGCCUCUGGAGCCCCUUCCCCCACCUCCCCAGUCGGUACCAUCACUUCUCUACCCAGUUCCCUCCCUCUCGCUUUCCUGGCUUCCCAGGCUGGAUCCUUAUUCUGCAUGAAUCUCAUUUGGUGAGAUUUUAAAUUGCAUUUGGUUCUCUGUAUUUUUGUCUCUGCCUCACUACAAGGUAGUAACCAGACUUUUGUUUUUCUUAUCCCAGCUAUAUCUGCAGAGUUGAAAACAGAAGCUAUUUUAUGUCUCUUUUGCUUAAAACGAUGUUAUAAAUGUUGUAAAACUUAUAUUUAUUUAUUUGAGUAGGUAAGACAUUCAUAUGGUACAAAAUUUAAAAGUCAUAUAACGCUCUUUGGUGAAAUUUUUUGUGUGUGUGUGUGAGGAAGAUCAGCCCUGAGCUAACAUCUAUGCCAAUCCUCCUCUUUUUGCUGAAGAAGACUGGCCCUGAGCUAACAUCUGUGCCCGCCUUUCUCUACUUUAUAUGGGACGCCACCACAGCAUGGCCUGAGAAGCGGCGCGUCAGUGCGUGCCCAGGAUCUGAACCCCGGCCGCCAGCAGCGGAGCCCGCGCACUUAACCACUACGCCACAGGGCUGGCCCCUCUGGUGAAAUUUUAGAAUCUCUCCCCUGGGAAACUAUUUUCUCUUCCUAGAGGCAGCCAAGAUGUUCAGUUUCUUGCGCAUUCUUGGUGACACAGACCAUGCAUAUAACAAUUGCAGACCUCACACACAUACAUUAAUCCCCUCUCCUUUGUUCAU